This is a long non-coding RNA of Clupea harengus (Atlantic herring), 831 nucleotides long. The record is from Ensembl. NCBI's taxonomy places the organism in Eukaryota, Metazoa, Chordata, Actinopteri, Clupeiformes, Clupeidae.
CACACCUGUGAUCUGCAACUUUUAUGGAAUUGCCAAAGCCUGAUCCAAGACUAAAAGUAAGUGCAUGAAGUGGCUUUUCACAAGUUAUGUCCAGUCUUGAGCCAUAGAUCAGGGGUUCCUUUAAAAACCAGUAUAGAGAACUUGUACUGUGUGCCCUUUGCACUGUUAAAAGAGACCAGACUUUAAAAAGAUUCAAGUAAAAUAUAGGGGAUCUUCUCAGGUUCAUUUUCUUCUGAAUAAAUUCCUCUCCGGUCCCAAUCCAUCAAAAGUCUGUAAAAUGGCACAAGCCACAGACUUCCAACCCACAGUCCACAGCCCCUGUGAGGAGACGCUGCACAAACUGAAGACGAAAAGCAGCUGUUCUGCUCUGUAAGUGAAUAAGACCAUGUCCACCUUCUUUAGGCAGAUAUAAAACAUUCUGUGGUACCCAGUGCAGAUUGUCUCAGAAGAGGUUGACCAAGAUUGACCGGAUCUUUGACAGCAGGUGUGUUGGAAGAUCUACACAAGCUAGCCGAUGCCAGAGGGAGGAUACUAGCAAAUUGCUAAUAAGAAGAACAAAGUGGAAGGAGAGAGAGGGAGAGAGAAAUAGAGAAGAGAGAGAGAUGGCCCGACAGGAACAAAAGACCUUUCAGUGUCUGUGUCAACAGGAAGGGAAGUAUUUCCACAAGGCCUAUAGUGACAGCGCAGGGGGAUCUUGUUGGGGGAUGGAUAAGGCCUCCUUCACUGGCAAAGGAUUGCCAUUAAACAUGCAGACCGGAGGCCAUGGGUGACACCUAGAGGAUAAGAGUGCAACUGCAGAAAGGAACAUGCCUCCCUUUCCAGUCAUCACGG